CUAAGAUUUUAUGGGCACAACAACGCCAUUUUGGAGUAGCUCAAUUCCAUGUCACAAUAUGUUUGAAAAAACUGGCAACCGAUGGAACAUAAAGCCUUCUAUGGGAAAGAGUUCACUCCUGCAAGGAUCAUAAAAGAUGAUAGUAAUGUCAUUAUUUACACUUUCUACCAGUCUCUCAACUAGGAUGACAAAUGGACAAAAACCGGAGGUAGUCUUAUGAUGCUAUCAACAGACACAGCCGAAGAACUCAAUUUGAAUGUAACCAUUGAUUCGGCUCAACAAAAACGAAUGGAUGACACGUAGUGCAGACACAUUGCACAGAGCACAAAAAGCAUUAUUCAAACGACAAUCAAUUAACAUGUAAUUAAGGUUGAUGAUGAAGAAAAA
Molecule: long non-coding RNA, 387 nt
Filed under: Phoenix dactylifera (date palm)
Lineage: Eukaryota; Viridiplantae; Streptophyta; Magnoliopsida; Arecales; Arecaceae
Description: long non-coding RNA (PDAC_LNC017942)
Source: RNAcentral